UAUAGAAAGCAUUUUGCCAAGUAUCACAUUCCUGCCUUCAAAGAGCUUUAGAAAAUGGUAGAGAAAAAGCUUCCUGAGAUAGGAAUUCGUUUCAGCAUUUGUUUUCGGACACUCACUAUAGACUUAUGCAAUAUUGGACGAGCUUAGAGAGGCUUACUACUGAUUUGUUUCCUCGACUCUUUCGACCUGACUUUUGUUUUACUUGCUUUUCCUUCCUCUGCAGGGUGAAAGAGGCCUUCCAGGGUUACAAGGUGUCAUUGGGUUUCCGGGAAUGCAAGGACCUGAGGGGCCUCAGGGGCCACCGGGACAAAAGGGUGAUACUGGAGAACCAGGACUGCCAGGAA
Long non-coding RNA from Pteropus alecto (black flying fox), 344 nucleotides. RefSeq lists it as uncharacterized. The record is from RefSeq and is a predicted model, not a curated record. Lineage: Eukaryota; Metazoa; Chordata; Mammalia; Chiroptera; Pteropodidae. The transcript has 2 exons.